This 291-nucleotide long non-coding RNA is filed under the name Setaria viridis. Its description in RNAcentral is "long non-coding RNA (SVIR_LNC007095)". The record is from RNAcentral. Lineage: Eukaryota; Viridiplantae; Streptophyta; Magnoliopsida; Poales; Poaceae.
GAGAAUCAAGGAAUCAAUGGUGACGUAGGGAACACGAUUUAGACAGGUUCGGACCGCUAGAUCGCGUAAUACCCUACAUCCUGUGUGUUGGUUUGUAUUGAUGUGUGUUCUGGUCCUGAGGGAUCUGUUUUGAGGGGGGUCCCUACCCGGCCUUAUAUACCCGGGAGGGCAGGGUUACAAGUUUGAGUCCUAGUCGGGUACUAUUAUAGAGUUCUACUCGGUAUCGUCCUGAGUAGUUUUCCAUAAAUAUACAAGACUAGUCCGCGUAGGAUACGCCCAUCCUUGUUCUGA